CUACGGGCGGCUGCAGUGAGGAAUAUUGCACAAUGGGGGGAACCCUGAUGCAGCAACGCCGCGUGGAGGAUGACGCAUUUCGGUGUGUAAACUCCUUUUAUAUGUCAAGAAAAUGACGGUAGCAUAUGAAUAAGCACCGGCUAACUCCGUGCCAGCAGCCGCGGUAAUACGGAGGGUGCAAGCGUUACUCGGAAUCACUGGGCGUAAAGGACGCGUAGGCGGGUUGGAAAGUCAGGUGUGAAAUCCUACAGCUUAUCUGUAGAACUGCACUUGAAACUUCUAAUCUAGAGUAUGGGAGGGGGAGAUGGAGUUAGUGGUGUAGGGGUAAAAUCCGUAGAUAUCACUAGGAAUACCUAAAGCGAAGGCGAUCUCCUGGAACAUUACUGACGCUAAGGCGUGAAAGCGUGGGGAGCAAACAGGAUUAGAUACCCUAGUAGUC
Molecule: ribosomal RNA, 439 nt
Filed under: uncultured bacterium
Lineage: Bacteria
Description: partial 16S ribosomal RNA
Rfam family: Bacterial small subunit ribosomal RNA
Source: RNAcentral